GUGCCGAGUCAAACUACCUCACAUAAAAUGGGACGGAUGGAGUAAUAAAUAACCGAAGAACUGAACGCUAACCCCUAUCCACCACUAUGUCUUGUUUCAUCUAACCACAUAUGCAUAGUGUACUUCUCUUUCCAUCAGUGUUCUUAAUGGCGCUCGCCAUUCGCCAAAGGAGAGAAGGCGAGGCGAGGCGAGGAUGUCGCGCCAUUUCCCAGUGAGGCGCGGCGAGAUCAGUUAGGCGACGUGAGGCGACGUAAAGGCGACGUGAAUGGCGGCGCCUUUUAGUAUUAAAAUUUUAAAAAGGUUUUGACUUAAUAAUAUUAGUCAAAAUUAGGGUUUUUUUUCAUAUUUCCAAAAUUGGGACUCAGACGCGAUUCUGCUUCUCCUUCAACCUCGCGAUUCUCUUCUCCUUCAGUUGACUCGCGCGAAUUGAAAGUCAAUUCAAUGGCGGAUGCUAGCAAAAAGAGGGAUAUUGGAUGGAAUUAUGGUACUCAAGGAGCAACGAAAGAUUCGGUUAAUUGUAACUUUUGUGGGAGUACUUUUAAUGGUGGAAUAACUCGACACAAACAACAUCUAGUGGGUGGUUUCAUGAAUGUUAAACAAUGUACAGCUUGUCCGUCGGAGAUUAGAGAAGAAGUAAGGGCUUAUAUGCAAAAUAAAAUCGCUAAUAAUCCCAAAUUUCAAGUGAGGCAGCCGGAAGAAUAUAUUGAUAUUGAUGAUGUUGAUGAUAUGGAUGAAUAUGCGGAAAUGAAGCCUCCCUCCAAAACUCCAAAGAUAUCUUCUAGUGGAGGUGCAUCAUCCACCGCACGGAAUGUGACGAAAGGCCCUAUGAAUCUCUAUUUUCCACAUAAAUCAACACAAAAAGGAGGCUUUGAAAAAGGAGAAGGAAUUGAUGAAACAAA
Long non-coding RNA from Solanum tuberosum (potato), 899 nucleotides. RefSeq lists it as uncharacterized. The transcript has 2 exons. The record is from RefSeq and is a predicted model, not a curated record. NCBI's taxonomy places the organism in Eukaryota, Viridiplantae, Streptophyta, Magnoliopsida, Solanales, Solanaceae.